AGAGCUGGGCGGGUUAAGGAGGAGGAUGGCGCCGUCCUGCAGAUGUGCGGGGACGCGCGCCCGCCGCAACGUGAGGCUCAUAGGCCACACGCAACUCUGAGCAUUGGCCAGGACCUGUAGUAGCCAACAGGACACUUAAUAACUGAUGUAUAGGCUGGAGUGCAGUGACGUGAUCUCGGCUCGCUACAACCUCCACCUCCCAGCCGCCUGCCUUGGCCUCCCAAAGUGCCGAGAUUGCAACCUCUGCCCGGCCGCCACCCCGUCUGGGAAGUGAGGAGCGUCUCUGCCUGGCCGCCCAUCGUCUGGGAUGUGAGGAGCCCCUCUGCCCGGCUGCCCAGUCUGGGAAGUGAGGAGCGCCUCUUCCCGGCCGCCAUCCCGUCUAGGAAGUGAGGAGCGUCUCUGCCUGGCUGCCCAUUGUCUGAGAUGUGGGGAUUGCCUCUGCCCCACUGCCCCGUCUGGGAUGUGAGGAGCGCCUCUGCCCGGCCGCGACCCUGUCUAGGAACUGAGGAGUGUCUCUGCCCGAUCGCCACCCAGUCUGCGAGGUGAGGAGCGUCUCUGCCCGGCCGCCCCGUCUGAGAAGUGAGGAGCCCCUCCGCCCGGCAGCCACCCCGUCUGGGAAGUGAGGAGCUCCUCCGCCCGGCAGCCGCCCCGUCUGGGAAGUGAGGAGCCCCUCCGCCCGGCAGCCGCCCCGUCCGGGAAGUGAGGAGCGUCUCCGCCCGGCAGCCACCCUGUCCGGGAGGUGGGGGGCAGCCCCCGCCUGGCCAGCCGCCCCGUCCGGGAGGGAGGUGGGGGGCGCCUCUGCCCGGCCGCCUCGUCUGGGAAGUGAGGAGCCCCUCUGCCCGGCUGCCACCCCGUCUGGGAGGUGUACCCGACAGCUCAUUGGGAACGGGCCAUGAUGAUGAUGGCGGUUUUGUUGAAUAGAAAAGGGGGAAAUGUGGGGAAAAGAGAGAGAUCAGAUUGUUACUGUGUCUGUGUAGAAAGAAGUAGACAUGGGAGACUCCAUUUUGUUCUGUACUAAGAAAAAUUCUUCUGCCUUGGGAUGCUGUUAAUCUAUAACCUUACCCCCAACCCCGUGCUCUCUGAAACAUGUGCUGUAUCCACUCAGGGUUAAAUGGAUUAAGGGCGGUGCAAGAUGUGCUUUGUUAAACAGAUGCUUGAAGGCAGCAUGGUCAUUAAGAGUCAUCACCACUCCCUAAUUUCAAGUACCCAGGGACACAAACACGGUGGAAGGCCGCAGGGUCCUCUGCCUAGGAAAACCAGAGAUGCUUGUUCACAUGUUUAUCUGCUGACCUUCCCUCCACUAUUGUCCUAUGACCCUGCCAAAUCCCCCUCUCCGAGAAACACCCAAGAAUGAUCAAUAAAUACUAAAAGAACAAAAAAAAAAAAACAAACACAAAACAAAAAAACCCAAAACAACAACAACAACAACAAAAAUUGUAGCCCAGGUGCGGUAGUUCAUGCCUGUAAUCCCAGCACUUUGGGAGGCCAAGGUAGGUGAAUCACUUGAGAUCAGGAGUUCGAAACCAGCCUAGCCAACAUGUGGCCAACAUAGCGAAACCUGGUCUCUACUAAAAAUACAAAAAGCCAGGUGUGUUGGUGCUCACCUGUAGUCCCAGCUACUCAGGAGGUUGAGGCACGAGAAUCACUUGAAACCAGGAGGCUGAGGUUGCAGUGAGCUGAGAUCAUGCCACCGCACUCAAGCCUGGGUGACAGAGCUAGACUGUCUCAAAAAACAAACAGACAAACAAAAACUAUAGGCUGGACACGGUAGCUCAUGCCUGUAAUCCCAACGGGCAGAUUGCUUGAGCUCAGGAGUUUGAGACCAGCCUGGGCAACAUGGCAAAACCUCUUCUCUACUAAAAAUAUAAAAAAUUAGCCAGGCAGGAUUGUGUGUGUCUGUGGUCCCAGCUACCAGGGAGGCUGAGAUAGGACGAUUACUUGAGCCCAGGAGGCAGAGGUUGCAGUGAGCUGAGAUCUUACCACUGCAUUCCAGCAAGACUCAGUCUCAAAAAAAAAAAAGAAAAAAAAAAAAAGAAAAAUUGUAAAAAGCAAUUUCUUGUAAAAAACAAAAACUGUACAGAGGCUACAAACAAUUGCCCCAUUUAUGUUGCCUACCCAGUCCUCAAAGAUGGCCAUUGCUCUUUGACACCUAUAUUGAUCAAGAUGUUUUCUCUGUUUAGACUUCAUAUAUAUGUGAACAUAAUUUCUGCCAUAUUUGGAGUAAUUUUGAACACACUGUUCUCCUACUCUUUUUUAAUUCCUCAAAUUGUAUUUUGGUUAUCUUUUUUUUUCCUUUUGAGAUGGAGUUUCACUCUUGUUGCCCAGGCUGGAGUGCAAUGGUGCCAUCUCAGCUCACAACAACCUCCGCCUCCCGGGUUUGAGCGAUUCUCCUGCCUCAGCCUCCCGAGUAGCUGGGAUUACAGCUAUGCACCACCACGCCUGGCUAAUUUUGUAUUUUUAAUAGAAGCAGGGUUUCUCCAUGUUGGUCAGGCGGGUCUCGAACUCUCGAACUCAAGUGAUCCACCCGCCUCGGCCUCCCAAAGUGCUGGGAUUGCAGGCGUGAGUCACCGUGCCUGGCCUUGUGGAUAUCUUUCUAUGUCAGUACAUAGAACUUGAUAUUAAGUGCUAUCUAUAUACUGAUGACUCUCAGUGUAUUUACAUUUUCAGCUCAGACUUCUCUUCUGAACUCUAGACUUAUAAAUAUCUACUUGACAUUGACAUAACCACCCUGAUGUCUCACAGAUUCCUUUUUUUUUUUUUUUUGAGAUGGAGUUUUGCUCUUGUUGCCUAGGCUGGAGUGCAAUGGCGUGAGCUCAGCUCACCACAACCUCCGCCUCCUGGGUUCAAGCUCAAGCAAUUCUCCUGCCUCAGCCUCCCAAGUAGCUGGGAUUACAGGCAUGUGCCACCACACCCAGCUAAUUUUGUAUUUUUUUUUUUUUUUUUAGUAGAGACGGGGUUUCUCCGUGUUGAUCAGGCUGGUCUCGAACUCCCCACCUCAGGUGAUCCACCCACCUCGGCCUCCCAAAGUGCUAGGAUUACAGGCGUGAGCCACUGUGCCCGGCCCCACCCCCCCGCUUUUUUUUUUGAGAUGGAGUCUUGCUCUGUCACCCAGGCUGGAGUGCAGCUGUGUGAUCUCAGCUCAGGGCAACUUCUGCCUCCUGGGUUCACGCAAUUCUCUUGUCUCAGUCUCCUGUGUAGCUGGGAUUACAGGCGCGUGCCACCACGUCUGGCUAUUUUUUUUUUUCUUUUUCUUUUUUUGAGACAGUGUCUAGCUCUGUCACCCAGGCUGGAGUGCAGUGGCGCGAUCUCGGCUCACUGCAACCUCUGCCUCCUGGGUUCAAACGAUUCUCCUGCCUCAGCCUCCCAAGUAUCUGGGAUUACAGGCGCCCGCCACCACGCCCAGCUAAUUUUUGUAUUUUUAGUAGAGACAGGGUUUCACCCUGUUGGCCAGUCUGGUCUCAAACUCCUGACCUCAUGAUCCGCCUGCCUCAGCCUCCCAAAGUGCUGGGAUUACAAGCGUGAGCCACCGUACCUGGCUAAUUUUUGCAUUUUUAGUAGAGACGGGGUUUCACCAUGUUGGCCAGGCUGGUCUCAAACUCCUGAACUCAGUGAUCCUCCCACCUCAGCCUCCCAAAGUGCUGGGAUUAUAGGUGUGAGCCACCGCCCCUGGCCUCACAGAUUCCUUUUUUUUUUUUUUUAAUUGGAGACAGGAUCUUGCUCUGUCACUACUCAGGCUGGAGUGCAGUGGCACAAUUAUGACUCACUGCAGGCUUGAUCCCCCUGGGCUCAAGCAAUCCUCCCACCUCAGCCUCCCAAGUAGCUGGGACCACAGGCACACGCCACCACGCCCAGCUUAUUUAUUUUUUGUAGAGAGGAGGUCUCACCAGGUUGCCCAGGCUGGUUUCCAACUCCUGGGCUCAAGUGAUCCACCCACCUCUGCCUCCCCAAGUACUGGGAUUACAGGUGUGAGCCAUCGUGCCCGGACUUGUCUCACAGAUACUAAACACAGAACGCUCAAACCUGCUACUCCUGCAGGCUUCCUCUCCUCACCAUUCACCUACUUGCUCAAACCAAAAACCUCAGAGUCAUUCUUGCCUUUUCCUUCUUUUUUUUUUUUUUUGAGACAGAGUCCCGCUCUGUCACCCAGGCUGGAGUGCAGUGGCGCGAUCUGGGCUCACUGCAGGCUCCACCUCCCAGGUUCAUGCCAUUCUCCUGCCUCAGCCUCCAGAGUAGCUGGGAAUACAGGCGUCUGCCACCACACCGGCUAAUUUUUUGUAUUUUUAGUAGAGAUGGGGUUUCACUGUGUUAGCCAGGAUGGUCUCGAUCUCCUGACCUCGUGAUCCGGCUGCCUCAGCCUCCCAAAGUGCUAGGAUUACAGGCGUGAGCCACCACGCCCGGCCAUUCUUGCCUUUUCUUCUCCUGCAGUCACUACUAUUGACUUGUUUUUUCGACCUCCACGAUGCAUCAUCAAAUUGUUCUUCUCCCUGUCUCCAUCUCUACUGCCACUACUCCUCCAACCGGCCUGAUUUACCGCAGUCACCUCCUAAUGGGUGUUCCUGCUUCCAUGUUGGCUUCUCCCCACAACAAGCCACUUUCAAUGAAUGGCUAAUUGUGAUUAACAACGACAACAACAAACAGUUAUGUAAGUUACUUCAAUUACUUUCCACCAUACUGGAAAAAAAUCCAAAUGCCCUGUCAUAGCCUAGGAAAGCCUACCCUGCCCCUCUCCCAGUUUUACCUUGGAUCUUUCUGCCCUUGUUUAGUGUAUUCUCUCUUCCAUGGUCUUAUCCCGUUUGCUCAAAAGGCCAAGGUAUGUCUCUACCUCCAGGGCUUUGUCCAUUCUAAUGCCUCUAUUAGAAUGCUUUUCCUCCGGCCUGGGGCGGUGGCUUAUGCUUGUAAUCCCAACACUUUGGGAAGCCAAGGCAGGGAGAUCACGAGGUCAGGAGUUCAAGACCAGCCUGGCCAACAUGGUAAAACCCUGUCUCUACUAAAGGUACAAAAAGUUAGCCGGGUGUGGUGGUGUGCCCCUGUAAUCCCAGCUACUCGGGAGGCUGAGGCAGGAGAAGCUUGAACCCGGGAGGCAGAGGUUGCAGUGGGCCAAGAUUGUGCCAUUGCACUCCAGCCUGGGUGACGGCACAAGACUCUGUCUCAAAAAAAAAAAAAAAAAGUAAAGGAAUGCUUUUCCUUUCUGUUCUUCAGCCUGGCUAACUUCUCCUCAUGCUACAGGUCUCAGUUAAAAUGUCACUUUCUUAGAAAGGUCCUCUCUGAUCUCCCCUCCAAUCUAAAUUAGAUGCCAAUAUUGCUUUCUCUCAAAAUAACUCCAUCUUUUUUUUUUUUUUUUUUUUUGAGAAGGAGUCUCACUCUGUUGCCCAGGCUGGAGUGUAAUGGCAUGAUCUCUUCUCACUGCAACCUCCGCCUCUCAGGUUCAAGUGAUUCUCCCGCCUCAGCCUCCCGAGUAGCUGGGAUUAUAAGCACCCACCAUCAUGUCCAGCUAAUUUUUGUAUUUUUGUAGAGACAGGGUUUCACCAUGUUGGCCAGGCUUGGUCUUGAACUCCUGACCUCAGGCGAUCUUGCUUUGGCCUCCCAAAGUGCUGGGAUUACAGGCAUGAGCCACCAUGCUUGGCCAAUAACCCAAUCUUUACUCAAUAUUACCAUUGUGCAUUAUUGCACAUAAUUAGUGUAUUGGUUUAGUAUCUUUACAUCUAGACUGAAAACUGUGAGGAACCAUUUGGGUUUCUUUGCUGUAUCCCUAACACCUGGCAAGGGCCUGGUAUAGUGAAAAUGCGUAACAAAUAAUUGUUGAAGUCUAGGCACGGUGGCUCACACCUGUAAUCCCAACACUUUGAGAGGCUGACGUGGGUGGAUCACUUGACCUCAGGGAGGGUACAAGACCAGCCUGGGCAACAUGGUGAAACCCCAUCUCUACUAAAAAUACAAAAAUUAGCAGGACGUGAUGGCACAUGCCUGUGGUCCCAGCUACUCAGGAGACUGAGGCAGCAGAAUUGCUUGAACCUGGGAGGUGGAGGUUGCAGUGAGCCGGGAUUGCGAUCCUGCCUAAAAAAAGAAAAAUAACAAAAUAAUUGAUAAGUGAAAACUAGGUGCAAGUAUAGGAGUUGAGAGCAAAGUGGGCAAAGGCAGAUUUUUUCUUAGUAAACGCUGUAUUGUUUUGUACUUUCUUUCUGAUCUGCUGCAUUUUGGGAUCCACUUGCAACUUAAACCUGAUGUUGGCCAGGUGUGGUGGCUCACACCUGUAAUCUAGUACUGUUGGAGGCCGAGGCGAGUGGAUUGCCAGAGCUCAGGAGUUUGAGACCAGCCUGGGCCACAUGAUGAAACUUCGUCUUUAGUAAAAUACAAAAAUUAGCCAGAUACGGUGGUGCACGCCUGCAGUCCCAGCUGCUUGGGAGGCUGAGGCAGGAGAAUCGCUUGAACCUGGGAGGCGGAAGUUGCAAUGGGAUGAGAUUGCUCCAUUGCACUCCAGCCUGGGCAACAGGGUGAGACUCCAUCUCAAAAAACAAAAACAAAGCAAAAAAAUCCCUGAUGUUAACAAGAAUGUGCACAGCGAUAAGGCUGUAUACGAAGUGCAGAUGAUGGGGACAAAUUGAGGCCAAAUCAGAUGAAAGCAGAGCUUGGGACUCAGGACCCCUCCUUCCUGGGAGCUGAAUAGACUCGGGUGGCAGGAAAGAGGCUCUGGCUGCCGGAUAGCUCUGGGUGGGCCCAGAGCAAAUGACCUGACCUGGUCCCCCUCACCCACUCCUGCAGUGGCUAUCACUUAGAAAUCAGCAUCCAGGCUGGGUGCGGUGGCCACGCCUGCAAUCCCAGCGCUUUAGGAGGCCGAGGCAGGUGGAUCACCUGAGGUCAGGAGUUUGAGACCAGCCUGAACAAUACGGUGAAACCCCAUCUCUACUAAAAAUACAAAAAAUUAGCCGAUGUGGUGGCGGGCGUCUGUAAUCCCAGCUACUCGGGAGGCUGAGGCAGGAGAACUGCUUGAACCCAGGAGGUGGAGGAUUGCUUGAGUCCAGGAGUUCAAGGCUGCACAUGAACUGUGAUUGUGCCACUGAAGGGCCCUAUCUCAAAGACAAAACGAAAAAUAAAUAAAAAUUUAAAUGAGGAGGCGGGAGCUACAUCAGAUUGGAGUUACCAGCAAGGAAAGCAGGGAGGAAAAAUGAAAAAGUGAGACUACCUCAACCCUGGUCAGUUGCAGAGACCUGGGAGCCCUCUGGACAAGGGAGCCACUCUCUCAAGAGUGAAGCACCACCCACUGCCACUUCAAGACAGGAGUUAUGCCCAGCCCAGGUGGGCAGUGGUGGCCUUGAAGGCAGAGCUUUGUUUCUGUGCAGGCCUGUUGGGCAGGAGGGAAGAGCGGAGAGGGAGUGAGAUCUGGCAUCGUCUCUAAGCACUGAGUGUCUGUGGGAUCCCUAAACAGCCCUGAACCUCACUCAUUCCUUCCUUGUCCUCAGGCUUCUCCCUAUUCCCCACAGAUCUAAGGCUGCCAGCUGUCCCUGCCCUGAGGCUGUCCCCUGCAACCAGGGAGGCCACAGCCCCCCAGCUGGGACCUGCAGCCUCAAGGACUCUUAUUCCACAAGUAGCUUUUCCUGAGGGUGUGCUGGAGACAAACAGCAUGGCGAAGGGUAAUGAAACUCAGGCCCUAUUUUUCUUUUGAGACGAAGUCUCCCUCUGUCACUCAGGCUGGAGUGCAGUGGCGUGAUCUCUGCUCACUGCAACCUCCACCUCCUGGGUUCAAGUGAUCUUCCUGCCUCAGUCCCCGAGUAGCUGGGAUUACAGGCUUGUGCCCCACGCCUGGCUAAUGUAUUUUUAGUAGAGACGGGGUUUCACCACGUUGACCAGGCUGGUCUCCAACUCAUGACCUCAGGUGAUCCGCCUGCCUUGGCAUCCCAAAGUGCCAGGAUGACAGGCAUGAACCACUGUGCCCGGCCUGAGAGAGGAAGAUUUUUCUACAGAAGUAUUUCAGCUAAUAAGCUAAGAAAAUAGAAAAUUAGGGCCAGGCACAGUGGCUUACACCUGUCAUCCCAGCACUUUGGGAGCCCAGGAGUUUAAGACCAGCCUUGGCAACAUAGGGAGACCUCAUCUCUAAAAGAAAUAA
This 8101-nucleotide long non-coding RNA is filed under the name Homo sapiens (human). RNAcentral describes it as "non-protein coding lnc-RPS25-1:22". The record is from RNAcentral. Lineage: Eukaryota; Metazoa; Chordata; Mammalia; Primates; Hominidae.